AUUGAACGCUGGCGGCAUGCCUUACACAUGCAAGUCGAACGGCAGCACGGGUGCUUGCACCUGGUGGCGAGUGGCGAACGGGUGAGUAAUACAUCGGAACGUACCUUAUCGUGGGGGAUAACGCAGCGAAAGCUGUGCUAAUACCGCAUACGCCCUGAGGGGGAAAGCGGGGGAUCGCAAUACCUCGCGCGAUUAGAGCGGCCGAUGCCUGAUUAGCUUGUUGGUGUGGUAAAAGCCCACCAAGGCGACGAUCAGUAGCUGGUCUGAGAGGACGAUCAGCCACACUGGGACUGAGGCACGGCCUAGACUCCUACGGGAGGCAGCAGUGGGGAAUUUUGGACAAUGGGGGCAACCCUGAUCCAGCAAUGCCGCGUGAGUGAAGAAGGCCUUCGGGUUGUAAAGCUCUUUUGUCAGGGAAGAAACACCGGCUCUAACACAGUCCGGGAAUGACGGUACCUGAAGAAUAAGCACCGGCUAACUACGUGCCAGCAGCCGCCGCGG
RNAcentral lists this ribosomal RNA (501 nucleotides) under uncultured bacterium. RNAcentral describes it as "partial 16S ribosomal RNA". It matches the Rfam family "Bacterial small subunit ribosomal RNA", at positions 30 to 523 of the family's 1533-position model. The record is from RNAcentral.